UUUCUUCAUCGUUUUUAAAUCUUGAGUUUUUGCAGUGUGUUCUUCAAGAAGAUUGUAUGAAAUCGAUGAACAACAGCGCACCCCCAAAUGGUCAACCUUUCUUGCUGAAACCAUGGCCAGAGCAAAAUAUUCUACCUAAAACCAUCACAAACUCAACCAUUUUUUCUUUUUUCUACCUUCGAUAACUUCAGAAACCUCCUCCAUUCUGAUUUAUGUCCUCCAUUCCUCUCCCGCCCCAUUUCCAGAUGGCGACUCCGACGAAGAAAGAGGGUCUCCUAUCUAUUGUGAGAUCGGUCUCCACCGUUUCCACCAAGAGACAGGUACGAAUUUUCCAAGCUGAAAUUCCAUCUGUUCUUGAUACUUUGGGUGAGCGACUCGUUCUUUAAAUCUCUUUCUUUUUACUCCUCCGACUCACACACGCACACAAAAAACCACAUGCAUAAACUUGGAUGUUCAAACAAAAGUUGGAUGAAUACGACAUGGGACGAUAUUUAAGGAUGCUUUUACAUCUAGUAAGAUUUGCCGCGCAAACAACCAAAAAUUACGAUUUUUGGGUUGGUUCUUAUUGGAUCUGGUCGAGGACGGUUGGGCUUGAUAGUUAAUCGAUCAUUAAUCACCUCUUAAUCAUCUAUUAAGGGCGGGGAUGUUUUUGUAAUUUCAGAUAUUUAAAUACUAUAAACAGGAAAAUAAAUAAAUAUGUGAUGAGGGGAUCCAUCAAUGUUUGUUUACAUUUGGUAAAAUUUGUAAAAUUUUGGGGUUUCACUUCCGUGUUAUGGAGAAAUUGUUUUUGUGUGCCAAAAAUACAGUUAAGUACACCAAAUUUCAUAACAUCAUUAGUUAAAAAAUUUCAUUUUUAAAAUUUUAAUCAAUUGUAUUGUUAUACUAAAUUUAUGUGCCUUAUUUGGAUAUCAUCAUUUUACUAAAUUGACAAAUAUGGCCAAGGGCAUAACCGAAAGAGUUGCUGUGUGGUGGGACUAUUUAACCAGACAGUGUUUAUUAAUUUUAUUUUCUAUUUUGCUAAUUAAAUUAAGGGAACUUUCACAAAAAACUUCUGGUACUGUUUACUUUAACAAAAAACCAUAUUUUUACACUAAAAAGUCAAUCAUAGUACUAUUCCUUCAGUCCGUUGAGGUUUCAGUAAAGGCUUUAAUUACGAUAUCAUCAGUAGCUCUACCUGCAUCUCCAAGUGCAUCGACAUGAGUUUUGUUAUGCGCUCAUCACCCACACUUGGUCGAAACUACAAACGGAGAUGCAGUUUAGAAGGUAAAUCUUCAUCUUUAUCUUUUGUUAUUUGAAAAAAAAGAAGAAGGUGUUUUUCAUUAUGUUGCUUGGUUUAGCAGGUUUUUCUGUAUCUCCUUUCUAAUCUGAAAGCACUUGGCCCAAAAAAAAUAUAAUAAGGCAAUUGUUUCUCUUCUUUUUUAAAAAAAAUUAAAAAUGGAAACACAAGAACGGAUUUAAGAAGCAAGUUAUUUUAUGAACAAACUUGAAGUUCAUAGAAACCUAUUUUCUUCUUGUUGUUGGGAAGGAAUUAGUUAUGAGGGGUAAGACCUUCAAUAGGUCUUGGAUGAUUACAUGUCAACCAGCAUUCCUGCUGAACUUGACGAUUAAGAAAACCAAGGUACUUGAAGAUUACUUCUCUUCCAAGUUCCAUGCAAGGCUCAUAAAAUUCUUGAAACUUAUAAGGGAAUUGCGUCAAUAAAGUUUUUGGUUAUGUUUACACUACAAGAAAAGUGGGCUAAGAACACAAUUGAUCUGUGUCCUUUUCAUUUUCAUUGAGCACCAAUACAUAUCUGUGCGUUUUGAGUAUCAUUGAACACAAAACUAUUUUAUAUGUGCCCUCUAAGCAAAAGGAACACCGGCGUGUGCCAAAAAUGAAGUGUAUUUGUGCCUACUUGCAUGUGUCACCCUUAAAUGUCAGAAAUGAGAUUUGUUUAUUAAUUUACUAAAGCACAAUAAAAGUUUUCGUGCUCUCCAAUGUAAUAUAUUUAAAUUAAAAGUAGGCCUUCAUGUCCUUUGGUUUUACUUUUUCCCAUUCUCAAUUCUUUACAUUUAGUUCACGCCUUUCCUCUCUCUCUCUCUCUCUCUCUCUCUCUCUCUCUUCUCUUAGAGCUGGUUUGGUAUUGCUGUGCUUUGAAAAAAAACUGCUUGAGAAUAAGCGGCUGUGAAAUAAAUCAGCAAAGUGUUUAGUAAAUUUUUUUGUAAAAGUGAUUUUGGAAAAAAAAAGCAGUCUAAUAGUGGGUCUUUUCAUUAAAGAAGCACUGUAGCUCCGUGUGCUUUGAAAAAAAGCCAGUUUUCCAAAGCUGCAAAUAACAGCUUCAGCUUUUUCCUUUGAUUUCAGCUUAUUCUCACAGCAGCUUCCAAAAUAAGCCUUUUUUUUUCAGUUUACCAAACACCUAAAAUCCUCACAAUUUUUUUUCAUGGGUGUUUUUUUUUAAUCAC
Molecule: long non-coding RNA, 2439 nt
Filed under: Malus domestica (apple)
Lineage: Eukaryota; Viridiplantae; Streptophyta; Magnoliopsida; Rosales; Rosaceae
Description: long non-coding RNA (MDOM_LNC011620)
Source: RNAcentral